RNAcentral lists this ribosomal RNA (459 nucleotides) under uncultured bacterium. Its description in RNAcentral is "partial 16S ribosomal RNA". It matches the Rfam family "Bacterial small subunit ribosomal RNA", at positions 338 to 795 of the family's 1533-position model. The record is from RNAcentral.
CCUACGGGCGACUGCAGUGAGGAAUAUUGGUCAAUGGCCGGAAGGCUGAACCAGCCAAGCCGCGUGAAGGACGAAUGUGCUAAGCAUUGUAAACUUCUUUUGUCAAGGGGCAAAAUCAGGCUCGAGAGCCUGACCAGGGGGACUUGAAGAAAAAGCAUCGGCCAACUCCGUUCCAGCAGCCGGAGUAAUACGGGGGAUGCGUGGGUUGUCCGGAUUUAUUGGGGUGAAAGGGUGCGUAGGCGGGAUGUUAAGUCAGCGGUAAAAGCCCGGGGUUCAACCCCGGCUGGCCGGUGAAACUGGGGGUCUUGAGUGGGCGAGAGGUAUGCGGAAUGCGCGGUGUAGCGGUGAAAUGCUUAGAUAUCGCGCAGAACUCCGGUGGCGAAGGCAGCAUACCGGCGGCUAACUGACGCUGAGGCACGAAAGCGUGGGUAGCGAACAGGAUUAGAUACCCUUGUAGUC